GUCGUUGCCGUUGCAGUCCUCUUCUUCCAUGCCGAUGGCCGCAGCCGGCUUCUCCAACAGCAUCUAUUUGCAUGGUUUACCAUUGGGACUCUGGGAGUAUAUGUUGUUCUUCAGCCUCUCGCUCUCCGAUCCCCUGACGAGGCGACGACGCGGCGGGCUCUCGCGAACCUGUUAGGGGAUCGAAGCAGGGUUCGUCAGGCCGCGACGGAGGGUGAGAUUUCGUGCGGAUCGCAUUCCGGAGACGGAGGCUACAACCGCUUGGUCGUUGUCGGGGAUUGGAGAUGCAGUUCUGAGAGGCCGCAGCGGCGGCGAGCUUUCUCUGGACUUUUCUCAUCCUGAUAUCAGGGAUCGAUGCAGCAGUAUACUCACAUUUUGUGGUGUUCAUAUCUCCUGAUCAUUCAUGAUGAUUCUGCCCUGGUAAAUUUGGAGGAUUUUUUACGCCAUUGCCAUCUGAUCUGAGUGAUCAGAGCUUUAUGAAGUAUUUGGAGCAGAAAAUGCAGAAUCAAAUUGUAUAAGGAUAUCAAGGCAUAAUGCGACAUGGAUGAAUCUGAAGUCUGAACUCGCCUGGUUGCAUGCAGGUUCGGCAACAAUGCCCAACAUCUCUGAUUGUCAAUCAAUGGUUCAAGGCACGAUCCUCAUCACAAUGGCACUGAAUAGAUCAAAGGCUACACUAACAAGAAUCCAAGCAUGAUCGCGAUAGCGGGUUCGCGGCAUCCACCAGGGAAAAAUAAAGAGGGAAAAAAUAGCAAAAAAAAAAAAAA
Non-coding RNA from Oryza sativa Japonica Group (Japanese rice), 761 nucleotides. NCBI's taxonomy places the organism in Eukaryota, Viridiplantae, Streptophyta, Magnoliopsida, Poales, Poaceae. The record is from RefSeq and is a predicted model, not a curated record.